CCUACGGGAGGCAGCAGUGGGGAAUAUUGGGCAAUGGGCGCAAGCCUGACCCAGCAACGCCGCGUGAAGGAAGAAGGCUUGCGGGUUGUAAACGUCUGUGAAGAGGGAAGAGCAGAAGACGGGACCUCUUGAAUAAGCCACGGCUAACUACGUGCCAGCAGCCGCGGUAAUACGUCGGUGGCAAGCGUUGUCCGGAUUUACUGGGUGUAAAGGGCGUGCAGCCGGGACGACAAGUAAGAUGGGAAAUCCCGCGGCUCAACCGCGGAACGGCAUUUGAAACUGUUUUUCUUGAGUACCGGAUAGUUCAUCGGCCUUCCUUGUGUAGCGGUGAACUGCGUAGAUCUACUGAAGAACCCCAGUGGCGAAGGC
This 369-nucleotide ribosomal RNA is filed under the name uncultured bacterium. Its description in RNAcentral is "partial 16S ribosomal RNA". It matches the Rfam family "Bacterial small subunit ribosomal RNA", at positions 338 to 722 of the family's 1533-position model. The record is from RNAcentral.